UGGGAAAGUUCGGUCUCCCUUUCCCUCUCCCCUCCCUCUAUCAUGUGCUUGGAAUAUGCUCAGGCUUUUACUCAGAGCAACUGAAGCACGCAUAAUGAACUGAGUAUUAGCGGCAAUUUUAAAUGAAGUGAUGGCCGAGGACGGCUGGAUAUUUGGGGGACUGUCCACCGGAUCCCACAGAACAUAUCUCCUAUCUGGGAUAAUUUCUGUGUCUGAUUGCUGUGAUGCUUCUUGCGCAAUUUGAGGAAGGUUGGAGGAAUAUGGCCCUGAUUCCCCUGCUGUCGGAGAGAGGCCUAAUGGAGAUGUCUGGAACUUGCCCUACUGCUAAACCAACAUGAGGUGAGAGGAGCCAGACAGAGAGAAAGAGGAUAGCUUCUGAUUUGUCCAUGUGUUAAGUAUGGCCCACAGAUCGAAGAGGUGGAGCAUCUAUCUGGGUGACUCACUACAGCUGUCUCGAGUGGAGAGAGAGGCAUGGACUGUCAUGUCCAUCUGAUCAGCAACAACAGUCAAGAUACAGUAUGCUGAUGAAGAAGGAUACAGCAAACUACUAUUUCUUAUCAGCAUUCAUAGUCAGCACUCAGUCAUUUCUGUAUCAUUGUGAUUUAAAAAUCAGUUGCAAAACUGUUUACCUUCUACUGGGCUGUAAAAGUACAACAUCAUUUAUUCUGAAUUGUAAAAGUCUUUAUUGUUGUUCUGGAUUUCAAGUGAAUCUGUCCUUAGAAUUGAGUAUAAGUGAUCCCAAAUGGAACCCACAGUGCACUUGCUCUUUAUCUGAAAUAUGAAUUGAUUGAAACAGUACAUCAAGACAAUAUUUUGUAACGUUCUCAAAUCACUGUAUUUUCUCAAUAAAUGGAAUAAAGUAUAUUCACUAAUA
This is a long non-coding RNA of Oncorhynchus masou masou (cherry salmon), 874 nucleotides long. RefSeq lists it as uncharacterized. NCBI's taxonomy places the organism in Eukaryota, Metazoa, Chordata, Actinopteri, Salmoniformes, Salmonidae. The transcript is spliced from 4 exons. The record is from RefSeq and is a predicted model, not a curated record.